Long non-coding RNA from Brassica oleracea var. oleracea, 1467 nucleotides. RefSeq lists it as uncharacterized. The record is from RefSeq and is a predicted model, not a curated record. NCBI's taxonomy places the organism in Eukaryota, Viridiplantae, Streptophyta, Magnoliopsida, Brassicales, Brassicaceae. The transcript has 5 exons.
UUUCACUCGUAAAGACAACCCGGAAACGUUACAGAUGCAUUCAAUUGUUGUCGUUCACGAACUUCUUAAACUCCUUCAACUCAUGCCAAGCACGAUUCCUCAUUCCCGUAAAUAUCAUCCUUUCAUAUCUCACAGAAUAUGAUUGAGCUACUGAAAUCUCAUGGCAGUUUAUCUUAUAUUCAAUGUUUCUCGAUGCGUUUAGGGAGAUGGGUGAAGUUGUGUCGGUUCGUUUCUGUAGGGAUAUGGCACUUGGAGAUCGCAUUAAUUUGUCAAUUUCACCAGUUUCCAAGAUGGGAUUAGAGGACCGGGAAGAACAAAAGUGUUGUCUUUUUUUCCAGAAAAUCUGUAAUUAGGCUGAGCUUCGAUGCAGAGGCUGGCAAUGAGUUCACAACUCUGCUCUGUCUCAGAUUUGGUGAAAGAUUAGUCGACUAGAGAGCGAAUAUAGAGGCUUGGCAAUUGCUUGCUCGAUCUAUAGUUGUUUUCACGUCGAUUUGAUUUUAAUUUUUUUUUUGUAGGAUGCUGGAAAAGAUGUGUUGGAGAGCUAUUCAAGAGGACUGACGAUGUUCUCUAUGUGGACAAAACCAUGAGAGGUAUUGAAUAAGUUAAUAGGGUUUAGACUAUACGUCUACGUUUCUUCUUUUUCUUAUGUUCUCUUAUGCCUCCUAUAAAUUAAAUUUAGAUUUUUUAAAAUAUGUCAAGCAUGGAAAAAUAUAUUCAGUUUCUUUUACUCAAAUUCUGGGUAUAAUAAGCCAUGUUCAUCAAGAAGGAAGGGAACAACGACCCAAGCUCCUUUGCUCCUUUGAUUCUCACUUUCCAGAGAUCUCUCAUGAUGCAACAGUAGACCCACUUGAGCUGUCAUCGUCCACUGAACAAUUGCUUAACCCGUCUUCCAAAAGCCUCCAUGGGUCACCCACAUCCCUGCUGUCUGGUUCUUACUGUUGACACGGGGAGUUUAUUUGAUUGAGCUCAGCAGAAGAUCUCGAGGGUCGAACAAGUGUGAGUGCGGUCAGCUGAACAGAUGUGGCUGACUCGAGAGAGAUAAAUGUAGGAAGGAAGGAGGAUUGGCAUCUGCUCGGAUCCACCAUCUAAUGGUGUUUGGCAACUGCACCCGCAUAAGUUCCUUCUACAUUAUUGUCAAGGAAAAGCCUAGCAACUUCAACGAUCGUAAGUUUCAGUCAACAAGACUGUCUAUGGAGGUUUUAUAGAUUAUUUUUUAGGAACCUAUAACCUUUAUACUGCAUCACAACCGAACAAGAUAGCGUCUUGGAUGAUUCAUUAUGAAAAGACCUUGGUUUUAGCCAAAUUUUGCUGGAGAUUAACCGUCAAAUUAGACAUCAAGAAUGGGUCACUACGGGAAGAACAUACAACAUAAUUUUCAUAAACUACUUGGCUAACAAGCAAAAGAACUAAUGUACCCAAAUAUAAUGAGAAUAGUAUAUUAUUUGUUUGAUGCAUCUGGUAUUAGAC